Molecule: unclassified non-coding RNA, 487 nt
Filed under: Yarrowia lipolytica
Lineage: Eukaryota; Fungi; Ascomycota; Dipodascomycetes; Dipodascales
Source: RNAcentral
GUACAUUCCUGCUGUCUUUGUGUUAGUGCGGCGGGGUUGGAUGUCAGAGCACAUGGAACCACGGGUACUUGUAACCGCACGAUCUACGGCACACUUUCGCACCAAUUGUUCCUCUGAUUCCGGAACCGGAAUCUCACACAACACCGAUUUCAUCUGCGUUUAAAACGCGUGUCCGAUCGUCGUGAUCUCCAUUGAUUCCAGCACGCGGAAUGAAGAACAGGCAGCCAUCAUCACGGUGGAAUGUGGACCAGUAGAGCCAUGGAUCGCAUCUAGAUCAAGCGAGAAGAUUACAGACAGAUUGAGCCAGAUUAAAUGGGAAGAAGUAACGACUGCGCCUGCAGCUGUACACGGGGUUUCCUCAACUACAGUAUUUAAGGAGUGAAUCUGGGCGACUAAUUUAUCAUCCAAAAGGAACUAAAGAAGUCACGCCAAUACAACAUCUCAGUACAUACAGUACCAGUAGUAUAAUAAUUUCUAGCCGCCAGAG